This is a ribosomal RNA of 677 nucleotides. It matches the Rfam family "Eukaryotic small subunit ribosomal RNA", at positions 640 to 1319 of the family's 1831-position model.
UUCGGGGCGUGCGAGCCGGUCUGCCGAUGGGUAUGCACUGGCUUCCGCGCGUCCUUUCUUUCGGAGCUCUCCGCUGCUCUUAGCUGAGCGGUGGAGGGAGACGGAUCGUUUACUUUGAAAAAAUCAGAGUGUUUCAAGCAGGCAGCUCGCUCUUGCAUGGAUUAGCAUGGGAUAAUGAAAUAGGACUCUGGUGCUAUUUUGUUGGUUUCGAACACCGGAGUAAUGGUCAACAGGGACAGUCAGGGGCACUCGUAUUCCGCCGAGAGAGGUGAAAUUCUCAGACCAGCGGAAGACGAACCACUGCGAAAGCAUUUGCCAGGGAUGUUUUCACUGAUCAAGAACGAAAGUUAGGGGAUCGAAGACGAUCAGAUACCGUCGUAGUCUUAACCAUAAACCAUGCCGACUAGGGAUUGGGGGCUGUUCCUUUUGUGACUCCCUCAGCACCUUUCGGGAAACUAAAGUCUUUGGGUUCCGGGGGGAGUAUGGUCGCAAGGCUGAAACUUAAAGGAAUUGACGGAAGGGCACCACCAGGAGUGGAGCCUGCGGCUUAAUUUGACUCAACACGGGGAAACUUACCAGGUCCAGACAUUGUGAGGAUUGACAGAUUGAGAGCUCUUUCUUGAUUCGAUGGGUGGUGGUGCAUGGCCGUUCUUAGUUGGUGGAGUGAUUUGUCUGGU